AUUGAACGCUGGCGGCAUGCUUUACACAUGCAAGUCGAACGGUAACAGGUUAAGCUGACGAGUGGCGAACGGGUGGGUAAUGCAUCGGAACGUGCCCGGUCGUGGGGGAUAACGCAGCGAAAGCUGCGCUAAUACCGCAUACGAUCUGAGGAUGAAAGCGGGGGACCGUAAGGCCUCGCGCGAUCGGAGCGGCCGAUGUCAGAUUAGGUAGUUGGUGGGGUAAAGGCUCACCAAGCCAACGAUCUGUAGCUGGUCUGAGAGGACGACCAGCCACACUGGGACUGAGACACGGCCCAGACUCCUACGGGAGGCAGCAGUGGGGAAUUUUGGACAAUGGGCGAAAGCCUGAUCCAGCAAUGCCGCGUGCAGGAAGAAGGCCUUCGGGUUGUAAACUGCUUUUGUACGGAGCGAGAAGGUCUCCUCUAAUACAGGGGGCUCAUGACGGUACCGUAAGAAUAAGCACCGGCUAACUACGUGCCAGCAGCCGCCGCCG
Molecule: ribosomal RNA, 493 nt
Filed under: uncultured bacterium
Lineage: Bacteria
Description: partial 16S ribosomal RNA
Rfam family: Bacterial small subunit ribosomal RNA
Source: RNAcentral